This 493-nucleotide ribosomal RNA is filed under the name uncultured bacterium. RNAcentral's name for it is "partial 16S ribosomal RNA". It matches the Rfam family "Bacterial small subunit ribosomal RNA", at positions 29 to 523 of the family's 1533-position model. The record is from RNAcentral.
AUUGAACGCUGGCGGCAUGCUUUACACAUGCAAGUCGAACGGUAACAGGUUAAGCUGACGAGUGGCGAACGGGUGAGUAAUGCAUCGGAACGUGCCCGAUCGUGGGGGAUAACGCAGCGAAAGCUGCGCUAAUACCGCAUACGAACUGAGGAUGAAAGCGGGGGACCGUAAGCCGUCGCGCGAUCGGAGCGGCCGAUGUCAGAUUAGGUAGUUGGUGGGGUAAAGGCCCACGAAGCCGACGAUCUGUAGCUGGUCUGAGAGGACGACCAGCCACACUGGGACUGAGACACGGCCCAGACUCCUACGGGAGGCAGCAGUGGGGAAUUUUGGACAAUGGGCGAAAGCCUGAUCCAGCAAUGCCGCGUGCAGGAAGAAGGCCUUCGGGUUGUAAACUGCUUUUGUACGGAGCGAAAAGGUCCUUUCUAAUACAAGGGGCUCAUGACGGUACCGUAAGAAUAAGCACCGGCUAACUACGUGCCAGCCGCCGCCGUAA